RNAcentral lists this long non-coding RNA (1326 nucleotides) under Equus asinus (donkey). Its description in RNAcentral is "lncRNA (ENSEASG00005025141.1)". The record is from RNAcentral. Lineage: Eukaryota; Metazoa; Chordata; Mammalia; Perissodactyla; Equidae.
GGAAUUAAAGUGGCCUCAAGCAUUGCUGCUAGACGUGAUCUCUUAGAAAGACAUCUCCAGGGGCUGGCUUGGUGGUGCAGCAGGGUCCCUGAAUUGGUUCCUCGCCCAGCAGCAACCAUUUCAGCUACGUCUCUUUCCUCUGCCUUUGUCACCGAGCUGAGUAAUGAUGUGACAACAUGUGAUUGGGCGAUUGAUGUCAAAUGUUAGCAGCAACAUUCAUUUUCCCCUGAAAUGGACAAAGAAGAGUAUUAGUCAUUUAGAAAUUUCGUCUCGAAGCUACACCUCACGAGUGAUAUUCCAAAAUUGACUUGGUCUGAAAUUUAAAGUGGCUUUUAAGUUCUUCUCCUUUGAUUGUUCCUCAGGUCAUGCAGAGUUGUGAAAGGCCGAGGGAGCAAGUUAGUGAUGGGAACUGCGAAUGCCAUUUGUCAGCUCCCUGACUCCUCUGCAGAAAUCCAUUCCUGCAGUGACAGGAUGUUCCUGAGACCUCAUGUCACAUAGAGGAAAAUCCGUGGGCUUUGGAGAUGGACAGAUCUGGGCUCUUAUCACUUCCUGCUUACUCUGUGAGCCUCAGUUUUCCUAUCUGUGCAGUGGGAUCAAUAAUAAUGAUUAUUAUCAGCCUCAUUUUGCAGAAAUAAGAAAAUAAGUUUUACAGAGGUGAAUAAGGGGCCAAAGUUGACAGUGAGUGAAGGGUCGAGCACAGCCUUCUCUGCGCCAUUGAUUCCCCAGCUCCUGCUCUGAACCAGGGAGAUCUUGUCCUGUCCCCCAGCCUCACCAGGAGGGCGCUGGGCUUUUCAUUUACCCUCCAUGCAGAGAACUGUUGUCUCUCCAGCAAUAACCCACUGAGGUGUGUCUGUGGAGGACUUGGCUUCAGAGACAGGGCUUCCCUGGGACCCUCCAAAGGUCCUUCCAAUAGAUGCCAAAAUGACCCCAGAUGAUGAGAGCUUAAAAUCCCUGCUCUCUGCGAUCAGCAUUUUUCAAAAAAAAGAAAUAUGCAGCAGGCUGUGCUAGUUUUUUUAACAUCUGGGAAGGCUCUUGCUCCCUCUGAGCCCUCUGUGUGCUCCAAAGUUACUGAUAACCAUCGUUAGAAAUGGCUUCCACCUACGGCUAUGAUUCAUGGCGGGGUUCAGACUGUGAUUCAUAGCCUCCUAAGAAGCGGGUGUCAGGCAGGGGUGCUACCUAGAAGCAGUGCCCGGGAAUAGGCCCACCGAUGUGAUGCAGCCAGAUAUGCUAAUGAGAUCAAUGCCAUGUUGCAUUAAAAAAUCCAAACCUCAUUUGCAAGUGAAUGUUAAUAAGGAGAAAAAGCUCGGCUCAGGCUGGACCAGAAUC